This 570-nucleotide ribosomal RNA is filed under the name Rhodococcus qingshengii. RNAcentral's name for it is "partial 23S ribosomal RNA". It matches the Rfam family "Bacterial large subunit ribosomal RNA", at positions 1170 to 1609 of the family's 2925-position model. The record is from RNAcentral. Lineage: Bacteria; Bacillati; Actinomycetota; Actinomycetes; Mycobacteriales; Nocardiaceae.
AUGUAGCGGGGCUCAAGUACACCACCGAAGCUGCGGCAUUCACGCAAUAGCCCCCAGUUGAUCCAAGGAUUUUCUGGCAGGUGUGUGGAUGGGUAGGGGAGCGUCGUGUGGCCAUGGAAGCGGCAGGGUGACCUAGCCGUGGAGGCCACACGAGUGAGAAUGCAGGCAUGAGUAGCGAAAGACGAGUGAGAAACUCGUCCGCCGAAUGACCAAGGGUUCCUGGGCCAGGUUAAUCCGCCCAGGGUGAGUCGGGACCUAAGACGAGGCCGACAGGCGUAGCCGAUGGACAACGGGUUGAUAUUCCCGUACCCGUGUGAACGCGCCCAUGGUGAAUCAGUGAUACUAACCAUCCUGAAGCCACGAGAAGACCUUCGGGUCUCGAGUUGGUGGAUGCAUGGGACCUGAUCUGGUAGUAGCCAAGCGAUGGGGUGACGCAGGAAGGUAGCUGAGCCAGUCAGUGGUAAUACUGGUGUAAGCGUGUAGGGCGUGACCUAGGCAAAUCCGGGUCGCACACAAGCCUGAGACGUGAUGCGUAGCCGAUUGAGGCGAAUUCAGUGAUCCUAUGCUGCC